UAAUAUACUAUUUUAGUGUGGAGUGAAUGCCUUGGAAGAAAAAUAUAGGCGCGGACAAUCGCGAAAGUGUUGACACGAGGAAAGCCUGUGACGUCAACCAACCUAAAAUGGGAAACCGGGGCUAAAAAGCCCGCUGCUUAGGCAGUAUCAAGGGGAAGUGAAACAUCUCAGUACCCUGUAGACCAAAUCAACCGAGAUAUCGUUAGUAGUGGUGAGCGAAAGCGAUAAAAAGGCAAAACGAAAAUUUUAUUAUUAAGAAUGAAAAGAAGUUUUGUUUUUCAAUGAAAUUUCUACCUUAGAAGGUGUUAGUCCUGUAAUUCUUUUUUUUUUUCGUGAAAGUAAGACGAGGCAAGUUUACCUUGUCUGAGUAUUGGGGGACCACCCUCAAAGCCUAUAGUUAUUUUUCUUACCGAUAGUGAACAAGUACCGUGAGGGAAAGGUGAAAAAGAAGUUGCGACAGUGCAAAGAUCCUGAAACUCCAUAUUUGAGUCGGAGCUAUAAAAAGCAACGGCAUACCUUUUGUAUAAUGGGCACGUGAAUCUUAAUAAAGGGCAAGCUUAAGCUAAUAAAAGUGUAGGCGAAGAGAAAUCGAGUCCUAUGUGGCAUCCUAAAGUCCUUUGUUAAGUACCCGAAACCGGCUGAUCUAAACUUGAGCAGGCUGAUAUUGUAGUGGCAACAUUCUUUGGAGGGCCGAACCCGUGUAUGUGGCAAAAUACUGGGAUGACUUGAGUUUAGGGGUGAAAGGCCAAUCAAAGUCGGUGAUAGCUGGAUUUCUGCGAAAUCUAUUGAAGUAGAGCGUCCUAAACAGUAAAUCUGGGGUAGAGCACUGUAUAAGCAAGGGGGAGAUCUUCUCUUACUAAACUUUGGCAAACUCCGAAUACAGAUUUUUCAUUUAGGGCAGACAGAGUAUGUAUGCUAAGAUUCAUACUCAAGAGGGAAACAGCCCAGACUGUAGGCUAAGGUCCACAAAAUAGUUUCAGUGGUAAAGGUGAUAUCUGCUCUGAGACCGUCAGGAGGUAGGCUUGGAAGCAGCCAUCCUUUUAAGACAGCGUAACAGCUCACUGACCUAGAGUAGAAGUCCCGCCAAUUUUGAGGGCUUAAAACUAUUACCGAAGCCUCAGACAAAAAUGUUAAGAUAAUUAAAAACUCUUAUAUUUUGUGGUAGCAGAACAUUCCGUAGGUCGUAGAAGUUUUGACGUAAGUUAAGAUCAAGAUAUCGGAAGCGAGAAUACUUGCAUGAGUAGCAUAAAACAAUGAAAUUAAAGCAUUGUGGCCGUAAGUCCAAGGUUUACGAUCUUAAGUAAAACUGGGUCGUGAGAGGGUAACACCUCGAUUUAAAACGGUCCCUAAGCUGUUAAGCCAAAGCUUGCAGUAAUGGGUAAGAUUAAACUGUUAAAAGUUGCUGACGAAAAAUUCACCUUAUUCUUGAAUUUGUCAAGAGUGAGUUAUUUUUUCCAAGAAAAAGGCACUUUAUUUAUACCGUACCUUAAACCGCCUCAGGUGGACGGGUGGAGAACACUAAGGCCUUGAGAUAACCCUGUUGAAGGAACUCGGCAAAAUGACUCUGUAACUUCGGAAUAAGGAGUAAAGGCAUGUAGCGCAAGCUUUUGUCUUUGUCACAAAAUCGGGGGUGGCGACUGUUUAUUAAAAACACAGGUCUCUGCUAACUCGUAAGAGGAUGUAUAGGGACUGACACCUGCCCGGUGCCGGUAGGUGAAGCUUUGAUGUUUACGCAUUGAGGUCAAACCCCGGUAAACGGCGGCUGUAACUAUGACGGUCCUAAGGUAGCGAAAUUCCUUGUCGGGUAAGUUCCGACCCGCAUGAAUGGUGUAACGACUUCCCCGCUGUCUCCAACAGGGACUCAGUGAAAUUACAUAGGUCGUGAAGAUGCGACCAUCCCACAGCUGGACGGAAAGACCCCGUGCACCUUUACUAUAAGCAAAUAUUGUAGGUCAAAGACUCUAGUGUAGAAUAGGUGGGAGCUUAUGAUUCUUUCUCGUCAGAGUCUGAUGAGGCGAUAGUGAAAUACCACCCCGAGAUCUGUUGGCUUACUAACUAAGGGACAGUGUUUGCUGGGUAGUUUGACUGGGGCGGUCGCCUCCUAAAGAGUAACGGAGGCAUACAAAGGUAGGUUCAUCUCCUUCUAAGGGGAAUUGAGUAUAAUGGUAUAAACCUGCUUGACUGAAAGAAAGACAUUUCGAUCAGAGACGUAAGUCGGUCAUAGUGAUCCGGUGGUUCUUUGUGGAAAGGCCAUCGCGCAAUGGAUAAAAGGUACGCCGGGGAUAACAGGCUAAUGAUCCUCUAGAGCCCCUAUCGACGGGUUCGUUUGGCACCUCGAUGUCGACUCAUCACAUCCUGGAGCUGGAAAAGGUUCCAAGGGUUCGGCUGUUCGCCGACGAAAGUGGUACGUGAGUUGGGUUUAGAACGUCGUGAGACAGUUUGGUCCCUAUCUUCUGUGGGUGUUUGAAAAUUCCGAGGACUAGACCUUAGUACGAGAGGACCGGGAAAACUCGAUCCCUUGUGUUCCGGUUGUUCCCUAAGGGGCAUCGCCGGGUAGCUACAUCGAGAAGAGAUAAUCGACCGUUAGGCGAGAAACUCUCCUCUAGUAAAGUUUUCUAAAGGGGGUGGAAGAUUACCACUUUGAUAGGCGGGAGGUGUAAGAGCUGUAAGGUUUUCAGCUGACCCGUACUAAUCCCUAGAAAAAUAAAAUUAUAUAGUUUUUGC
RNAcentral lists this ribosomal RNA (2724 nucleotides) under Alaria esculenta (Atlantic wakame). Its description in RNAcentral is "large subunit ribosomal RNA". It matches the Rfam family "Bacterial large subunit ribosomal RNA". The record is from RNAcentral. Lineage: Eukaryota; Phaeophyceae; Laminariales; Alariaceae.